Molecule: ribosomal RNA, 440 nt
Filed under: uncultured bacterium
Lineage: Bacteria
Description: partial 16S ribosomal RNA
Rfam family: Bacterial small subunit ribosomal RNA
Source: RNAcentral
CUACGGGCCGCACCAGUGAGGAAUAUUGCACAAUGGGGGGAACCCUGAUGCAGCAACGCCGCGUGGAGGAUGACGCAUUUCGGUGUGUGAACUCCUUUUAUAUGUCAAGAAAAUGACGGUAGCAUAUGAAUAAGCACCGGCUAACUCGCGUGCCAGCAGCCGCGGUAAUACGGAGGGUGCAAGCGUUACUCGGAAUCACUGGGCGUAAAGGACGCGUAGGCGGGUUGGAAAGUCAGGUGUGAAAUCCUACAGCUUAACUGUAGAACUGCACUUGAAACUUCUAAUCUAGAGUAUGGGAGGGGGAGAUGGAAUUAGUGGUGUAGGGGUAAAAUCCGUAGAUAUCACUAGGAAUACCUAAAGCGAAGGCGAUCUCCUGGAACAUUACUGACGCUAAGGCGUGAAAGCGUGGGGAGCAAACAGGAUUAGAUACCCCCGUAGUC